AGCUUCGUGGCCAAGAGGAAUGGCGUUGGGCUCAUAACCCAAAGAUCCCCGGAUCGAAACCGGGCGAAGCUA
This is a transfer RNA of Wallemia sebi, 72 nucleotides long. It matches the Rfam family "tRNA". Rfam says of the family: Transfer RNA (tRNA) molecules are approximately 80 nucleotides in length. The record is from Rfam. NCBI's taxonomy places the organism in Eukaryota, Fungi, Basidiomycota, Wallemiomycetes, Wallemiales, Wallemiaceae.